GACGAACGCUGGCGGCGUGCUUAACACAUGCAAGUCGAACGAUGAAGCCUAGCUUGCUAGGUGGAUUAGUGGCGAACGGGUGAGCAAUACGUGAGUAACCUACCUUUAACUCUGGGAUAAGCCCGGGAAACUGGGUCUAAUACCGGAUACGACCAAUCUCCGCAUGGGGUGUUGGUGGAAAGCGUUAUGUAGUGGUUAUAGAUUGGCUCACGGCCUAUCAGCUUGUUGGUGAGGUAACGGCUCACCAAGGCGACGACGGGUAGCCGGCCUGAGAGGGUGACCGGCCACAAUGGGACUGAGAAACGGCCCAGACUCCUACGGGAGGCAGCAGUGGGGAAUAUUGCACAAUGGGCGCAAGCCUGAUGCAGCGACGCCGCGUGAGGGAUGACGGCCUUCGGGUUGUAAACCUCUGUUAGCAGGGAAGAAGAGAGAUUGACGGUACCUGCAGAGAAAGCGCCGGCUAACUACGUG
This 471-nucleotide ribosomal RNA is filed under the name uncultured bacterium. RNAcentral's name for it is "partial 16S ribosomal RNA". It matches the Rfam family "Bacterial small subunit ribosomal RNA", at positions 28 to 507 of the family's 1533-position model. The record is from RNAcentral.